Molecule: ribosomal RNA, 399 nt
Filed under: uncultured bacterium
Lineage: Bacteria
Description: bacterial SSU rRNA
Rfam family: Bacterial small subunit ribosomal RNA
Source: RNAcentral
UAGGGAAUAUUGGUUAAUGUGCGAAAGCGCGAACCAGCAACGCCGCGUGUUCGAUGAAGGCCUUCGGGUCGUAAAGCACUUUUUGCAGGGAAGAGGAAGGACGGUACCUGCAGAAUAAGUCUCGGCUAACUACGUGCCAGCAGCCGCGGUAAAACGUAGGAGACGAGCGUUAUCCGGAUUUACUGGGCGUAAAGCGCGUGCAGGCGGCAUGGCAAGUUGGAUGUGAAAGCUCCAGGCUUAACUGGGAGAGGUCGUUCAAUACUGCCAGGCUGGAGAGUGGUAGAGGGAAGAGGAAUUCCGGGUGUAGUGGUGAAAUGCGUAGAUAUCCGGAGGAACACCAGUGGCGAAAGCGGCUUCCUGGCCCAUUUCUGACGCUCGGACGCGAGAGCUAGGGUAGCA